Molecule: long non-coding RNA, 5471 nt
Filed under: Sus scrofa (pig)
Lineage: Eukaryota; Metazoa; Chordata; Mammalia; Artiodactyla; Suidae
Description: lncRNA (ENSSSCG00005033250.1)
Source: RNAcentral
AUAAUUCAUCAGCAAAAUUCUGGACCUGGGUUUUUUCUCGGUAUUUUUUUUUUUUAACUAAUUCAGUCUCCUCACUUUUUAUAGCUAUAUUCAAAUUAAUUUUUUCUUGAGUCAUCCCUGGUAGUUUAGGAUCUGGCAUUGCCAGGAGCUAUGGUGUAGGUUGCAGGUGCGGCUCGGAUUUUGUGUGGCUGUGGUGUAGGCCGGCAGCUGUAGCUCCAAUUAGACCCCUAGCCUGGGAACCUCCAUACCUUCAUAUGCUGGGAGCAUGGCCCUAAAAACCAAAAAAAAAAAGGACUUGCUUUUGGUUUCAAUGGUUUUUCUCAACUGUUUUUGUAUUCUCUAUUUCACUUAUUUCUGCUCUAAUUUUUAUUUCCUUUCUCUACUUGUUUUAGAUUCAGUUUUUUUCUACCUUUUUCAAGAAUCUUGAGGAGUCUUAAGAUUUGUUUAUUUAUUUAAAAACUUUCUCUGAUCAUAUAGGCAUUUAUUGGUAUAAAUUGCCCUCUAAGCCUGCGUUAGCUGCCUCACGUGAGUUUUGGUAAGUCGUGACUUCAGUUUUAACCAUUUUAAUUAUGUUUCUAACCUCCCUUUUGAUUUUUUCUUUCGCCAAUGGUAAUUUUGGAGGUUGUUCAUUUCCAAUAUUUGAGUUUCUCUGAUUUCUUUAUGUUUUCAAUUAUGAAGUUCACUCCAUUGUGACUGGAGUACAUAUUUUCUGUUAUUUCAGUUCUUUUUCGUGUACUCUAGAUUGCCUUACGGCAUGUAGUCUUUCUUGAAGAAUGUUUAUGGGAAGCUGAGAAGAAUGUAUAUUGUAUAUUUUACUCUUGUGUAGAGUGUUCCACAUGUUUGUUGGUUUAUGCUCUUGUUCGAGUCUUCUAUUUCCCCUUUUGCCUAGCUCUGCCUAUUAUUGAAAUAGGUUAUUGAAGUCUCCAAAACUUAUUAUUGAAUUGUCUAUUUCUUCCUUCAUUUCUGUCAGUUUUUGCUGCAUGAAAUUUGGUGUUCUGUCAUUAGGUGCAUCUGUAUUUAUAAUUGUUAUGUCUUUCUGAUGGGUCGACUCUUUUACCACUAUAAAAUGUCUUUUUGUUUUAAAGUCUCUUUUGCCUGAAAUUAGUAUAACAAGUAUAGCAUUCUUGGGGGGGGGUUUGAGUUAUAUUUCCUUUUCCAUCCUACUUUUCAUUCAUUUUUAUCUUGGAAUAUAAAAUGAAACUCCUGGGAGCUGCUACUGGGCUACAGUGGGUUAACAAUCCAACAUUGUCUCUGUGGCAGUUUGCGUUCAACCCCUAGCCCAGCAUAGUGGGUUAAGGAUCCAGUGUUGCUGCAGCUGUGGCAUAGGUCGCAGCUGUGGCUCAGAUUCAGUCCCUGGCCCAGGAAUUUCCAUAUGCCUCAGAUGUGGUUGAAAAAGAGAAAAAAGUGUGACUCCCAUAUGCAAUAUAGACUUAGAUCUUUUUUUUUAAAUCUGGUCUGACCGUCUCUGUAAUUAGAUUGUUAAAUCCAUCCACAUUUACUGUUAUUAUUGGUAUCCUUGGAUUUAGGUCUACAGUUCUUUGUUUUCUAUGUUCUUUUUCUUUUUUUUGGUUUCUCCAUUUCUUUUACUGUUUUCUUUUGCAAAAAAAAAAAGCAGUGAAUGUUUUCUAAUGUGGCGCUUAAAUUCCUUAAUAACUUUUCUAUCAUAUGUUUUUUCUUUGUGACUGCCCUUUGGCUUAUCACAUACAUCUCAACUUAUAGAAUCAGAUUCCAGUUUAUACUAACUUAAUUGCAGCUAGAUAUAAAAAUGUUACUUUUAUAAAGCUCUAUGCUCUCUUCACCUUUUUUGAGGUAUUAUUGUUAUAUGUUACAUCUAUAAAUACUAAAAACUAGACCAAAUAUGACAUCAUAUAAUUUUAUGUCUUCUAAAGAAGUUGAGAGAAGAAAGAGCAAAGAUAUAUUUAUAGAUUUUGUAAAUUAGUGGGGCUCUGCAAUCAUUCUAGAAGAUCUGAGUUACCAUCUGGAGGCAUUUUCUUAUUGCUGCACAUCUUUUCUCCCACUUACCUCCUUUGUACAGUUAUAGGAAAAUAUCUGCAUGUACUGCAGACCCAACAAUACAUUAUAUACACACUCCCUUAUACAGUGCUUUCUAAAUCAGUCGAGCGAAGAAAGUAGAAAAAAUGCAUUUGUACUCUUUUAUAGUUAACCUAAUAACCUUUCCUGAUGACCUUUGUUGUUGUUUUUACAUUCAGAUUAAUUCCUGGGGUUGCUUACUUUCAUCUUGAAUAACUUCUUUUAAUAUUUCUUGUAAAGCAGGUAUGCUAGCAAUAAAUUUCUUCAGUCCUUGUUCAACUUCAACUUUUUAAAAAUAACUUCGAUGGCUAUAAAAUUCUUAAUUCAUAGUGUUUUUUGGGAGUUCCCAUCAUGGCUCAGUGGUAACAAACCUGAGUAGUAUCCAUGGGGAUGUGGUUCAAUCCCUGUCCCCACUCAGUGGGUUAAGGAACUGACAUUGCUAUGAGCUCGGAUCCUGCAUGGCUAUGGCUGUAUCGUAGGCCAACAGCUGUAGAUCCUAUUCAGCCCUUACCCUGAGAACUUCCAUAUGCUGUGGGUACAGCCCUAAAAAGCAAAAAAUAAAAAAUAAAAAUUAGGAGUUAUGUCGUGCCUCAGUGGAAAUGAAUCUGACUAGCAUUCUUGAGGACAUGGGUUCAAUCCCUGGCCUUGCUCAGUGGGUUAAGGAUCUGGCAUUGCUGUGAGCUAUGGUGUGGGUUGCAGAUGCAACUUGGAUCCAGCAUUGCUGUGGCUGUGGUGUAGGCCAGUGCUAUGGCUCCAAAUUGACCACUAGCCUGGAAACCUCCAUAUGCUGUAGGUGCGGCCCUAAAAAGACAAUCAAUCAAUCAGUCAAUCAAUAAAAAUAAAAAACAGUGAGUUUUUUCUCUAGGUACUUUGAAUAUGCUAUCUCAGUUCUUUCUGACCUCUUGUUUCUUCUGAGGAGUUAGUUAUUAAUCUUAUUGGGGUUCUUUAAAGUGAUAAAAAGACUCUCUUCUAAGUAAAAGCAUUCUUUUUUCUAUCUUCCUCCUUCUAAGAUUUCUACUUUGCCUCACCUUUCUGCAUUUUUACUUCAAGGCGUCUGCGGAUCCCUUUCUGUUUACCCUACUUGCAGUUCACUGGGUUCCUGGAUGUGAGUAAAUGCUUCUUUACUUGCUGUAUCCUUGGAACUAAUUACACAGACUUUAAACAGCUGCUUUUGUUUGUGUUUUGUUUUAUAAUUUUCAUAGUUUGGCUAGGGAGCGGGUCAGUGGAAUUCUUCACACUACUGUACUGGAAGUUCCUCCAAGACCUAUGCAAUUUUCAAGCCUGAAUGCUCAGUGACUUGUGAAAUUUGAUUUGCCACAGAGUAAUUACAUAUCGGUUGCCAACAAAAUUAAAUUCAUAUAUUAUUAGUAUCAUAUGAGUCACAUCAUUAUUUGUGUGCAUUAAAGGCUUUACAGAUGCUAUGAUGAUCUGAGUUAGUGUACUUUUUAAAAAAAUUAAGUUCUGUGAGUCAGCCAUAUGUUUAAGUAACUGAAAUUACUGCAAAUGAUGAAAAAUAUACCUAACAAUAAUUUAGUAGAAUUUUUUUAUUACAGAAGUCCAUCAAGCAGUUGAAGCAACCACCAUGACACAAUAUGUAAUUUAGUAGAUAAAGCAGAGAAAAUUAAAACUGAAUUUUGCUAUAGUAUUUAUAGAUAGGUGACUAUAGUAUUUAUAGAUACAAUGUCAUAUUGUCCCAAGUGUGAGCUUUAAGUGAUGUUUACAAGAUCUUUCAUAGGAUAAUGAAUAUCAAUAACAGCCUUGGGACCAGUUGAGGGAACAGGAACUGACUUUUGAUACUAACCAUUCUACUAUGUUCUAUUUUAGAUUUUGCUGCCAGCCACUACCUUGAAAUUUUAAAAAGAGAGGGGACUUCACAUGGGGUCCGAAUGUCUCUGAACACUGCUAAGAACAAACUACAAACUACAGCAGACCCUUGGUGCCCCUGGACAUCCCUCAGCUCAGUUAAAGCUGUGGAGGACGGCUGCUCUCAUGUGCACAGAGCCUCAGCCUAAGUCCCCACCUUGUCUCUCAUUAUUCAGCUUUGGGAAUUUUUCUAAGGGUAAAGGAGCUCACUGACCCCAUUUACAGUGAGUUCAGGGGAUUACUGGCUGAUUGUCAAGCCACAGAUAAAGGUCACAGCUUCCUGUGCCUCAGUGGUCAGUUGAGAUUCACAUGACCCAGCCCCUUACAGAGUACCCAAUGGGAUAGAUGUCAGCUUGUUCACCGCUGUCACCAGCUCAGCAGCACACACUUUAGUGGCUUCUCCUCCUCUCUUGUAUCCUUUUUCCCACUCCCUCAUUCUUGCUUUUUGAAAUCAUUUCCCAAAUAACUACUUGCACAAGCUUGUGUCUCGUCUGUGUUUGGGAAGAAUACAAAAUGAAGACAACAGGAAAAACAAGCAAGACAACACUACCCCUGCUCUGAUCAAGUCAAAGUCAAGUAUAAGGGCUCCAGCCAAAAACUAACAUCUACCUUAACCCCUCAACCAGAAUUAAGGAGUUGGCAGGUCCCCAAACUAGCAAUACUAACACAAUCACCCAGCAGAAUCAGUAUCACCACCAGGAGAGUCAGUAGUACUUAUGUUGUAUUUUCCAGAAGAUCUGAUUGGUCCAUUGAUAGCUACCACUUAUGCUUGAUGGAAACUGAAUCAGAUACAGGAUUUUAGCUGCAAGGGAGUCUGAUUUCCUAUUGCUGCUGUAAGAAAUUACCGUUAACUCAAUAGCUUAAAAGAACAAAAGUGUAUUCUCUCACUUGAGGAGGACAGAAGUCCAAGAUCAGUGUCAAAGUAUUGAUGGGUCUUUCUUCCCUCCAGAAACCUUAGGGGAUAAUCUGUUCCUGGCCUUUUCCUGCCUCUGGUCGCUCUGGCAUUCCUUGGCUUGUGGUAACAUCACUCCAUCCCCUGCCUUCUGGACAAAUGGCCAUGUCUUCUGUGGAUUAAUGGAGCCCCAAGAAGUAAGAAGGCAGACAAGCCCCUCACACAGAUGAUGAGAGUCCCAGUAGGAAGCCGCCCUCACCCUCAGAGGGUCUGAGCCCUGACACAGGUGAUGGCACAUCCUUCGGCGACCAUAUACCCAUGCAGUGUUUGCCAGGAAUCGAAGAAAUUCUCACAUACUGAAGUAUGGGGAAGCCAUUCUGGCUUAUACAUGGUUUGGUCUGAACUAGAGCAACCUGCCAUACACACAUAAUACUUAAGCAAAAGAAUGCAUUACCCAGAACUAAAGAAUGUCCACUCUAAAUACAGGGAUAAAUGCCUCCCUUCCUUUGAUAUCCAUGCUGGUACCCCUUUGAUGAUAAGACUUCCUUCCCAGAUGCCAAGGACAUGCUGACUUGUAUAUGUGCUCAUCUGUCUUUUGAAAGCUUGAAGGAAUGUAUCCAUCAUGUUUGUACUCAGCAUGUUUGGUGUAUAUUCUUUGUUGUGACAAUAUAUAAAACCAUGUUGC